AGUGGACGCUGGCGGUAGGCCUAACACAUGCAAGUCGAACGGCAGCACAGUAAGAGCUUGCUCUUACGGGUGGCGAGUGGCGGACGGGUGAGGAAUACAUCGGAAUCUACUUUUUCGUGGGGGAUAACGUAGGGAAACUUACGCUAAUACCGCAUACGACCUACGGGUGAAAGCAGGGGAUCUUCGGACCUUGCGCGAUUGAAUGAGCCGAUGUCGGAUUAGCUAGUUGGCGGGGUAAAGGCCCACCAAGGCGACGAUCCGCAGCUGGUCUGAGAGGAUGAUCAGCCACACUGGAACUGAGACACGGUCCAGACUCCUACGGGAGGCAGCAGUGGGGAAUAUUGGACAAUGGGCGCAAGCCUGAUCCAGCCAUACCGCGUGGGUGAAGAAGGCCUUCGGGUUGUAAAGCCCUUUUGUUGGGAAAGAAAAGCAGCAGGUUAAUACCCCGCUGUUCUGACGGUACCCAAAGAAUAAGCACCGGCUAACUUCGUG
Molecule: ribosomal RNA, 492 nt
Filed under: uncultured bacterium
Lineage: Bacteria
Description: partial 16S ribosomal RNA
Rfam family: Bacterial small subunit ribosomal RNA
Source: RNAcentral